CUGUAAUUUUUUAUUAUACAAUCCUUUUAUAUGUAUAUAUUAUCUUGUCUAAAUGUUGAAUAGUUUUUUACAGGUCAUUUUUAAUAAUGUUAUCAUUAUUUUGCUAAGGCAAAAGUAAUUUCUGUGUUAAUUUAAAUUUUUAAUGUAAUUUAAUUUGUUAAAGUGUUGUCUGCAAUAAUUGCUUUUAUUUGUUAUCUUUUAAAUGUGUGUGUCUUUUAAAUUGCAUGAAAUUUGUCUUUGUCAUAUAUGUGAUUUUCCUAUAUAUCUUUCAUUUCUUCAUUCUCCAGCAAAGGAAAAGAUGAAGCAGAUGAGAAAUCAAGAACUGAAGUGGAUAAUCCUGCAUUUGAGUAAGGAUAAUCAUCAAUGUUUCAAAAGAAUCAUCCUAAUCUUUUUUUACUUUUUUACAGGAAUAUUCUAAAAAUUUAUUAUUCUGUAUAUCUGGCUUAUUGCAGUAUGCAUAUAUAAAAUAUAAAUAUGUAUAUAAAAGAAUUUCUGUUUCCUUUCUUAAUUUAUUUCUGUAAUCUAACAUUAACC
This 534-nucleotide long non-coding RNA is filed under the name Androctonus crassicauda. The record is from RNAcentral. Lineage: Eukaryota; Metazoa; Arthropoda; Arachnida; Scorpiones; Buthidae.